UGGAUGCAGCACUGCUGGUAGCACUGUGGUGCUGCUUGUUACUGGUGGAGUGGAGCGCCAGGAGCUGCUUCUGCGAUGGGGCUGUUCCCAGGCAGUUGGGUGCCUAAGUGAAGUGUGCCAUAACUAACUGGUUGAGGGCUCUCUUUAAAAGGGGUCAAGUUUUUGUGAAUUUGAGUUUCUGUUAAUGCCUCAUAAACACAUGUUUCCCUAACAGCAUUGGAGCUGGACACCUCAGUUACCAGUGGACUGAACAGAAGUUUCUCCUAGUGACCUGCUAAGGAAACAGGAGUGGGCCACAAGGCCCACGAAGGGCUGUGCAGUGGCCAGAUGGGUCCUAGAGAGUGGCCACCUGCUAUUUAGCCUUGACCUGGCUGUUCAUGUGCUCCAGCUGCUCCCUGCGCCCUUUGCCUCCAGCCUCCUGCUGACUAGGGGGCGUCUAGCAGUGGGGCGGAAAGGCCUCUCUGGAGUUGUGCUGGUGCUCCUCCUUCCUUGGGUCACUUCUCCCAGCUGUUGCCAGCCCGGCCUGAAGUGGUUCCCCACCAGCUUUGGUGGCCCGCCCUCAGUCCUCUUUUCUGCUCUUGUGUGCAGUUACAGGUUUUCAUGUCCCCUCUCCACUGAGGCCAGGCGGGGUCCCUAGUCUGCCCUUGUUAGACUCUCUGGAAGCCCCAGGGUCCCCAGCGUCAGCCUGUGCGUGCCGCCUUCUGUAGGUAGUUGCUGUUGAUAGUGAACCACGGGACGGAGCGCAAGGGACUUAGCCACGCUUCCUCAGUAGGUCACACGGUUGCUUCUUUGCGCGCUGGUAGCUUCUGAGAGAGACGAAGGGCGGCCUUUUCACCUGCUGAUUCUUUCCAGGUGAAGCCAGACCUGUUUAUAACUGAGUCUGCUGGUCACACCUAGUGCCAUAGAACACCCCACUUGUUCUGUAGAAUGCAGAGCUCCUUGGUUUGUUGACAAAUUUGGUAUGAAGAGAAUCCAGCUUGAAGGUAGGUUCUUUAAAUGGAAUUUCUUGGAGAAAGCACCAUUCAGCUCAUUAAUUCUCAAGUUGAAAUGCCUUCACUAAAAUAUGGUUUUCUUUAGCACAGUUCUACCUUUUAAUAUGUCAAGAUUGCAUUCAGAGGUUGGUUAAAAGCUGAAAGUAUGUUGCCAAGCUUCCAAAUUGCAGGCUCAGAAAUCCUUUGAAAGGGAAAGAGUGGGUGUGGGAAAGUGGGAGGAAGCGGUUACCCAGAAGGCAGCUUUCCUCUGGGCCAAGUUGAUAAGGUCUUAGUUUUGUUUUUAUUAUUGAAACAAUUGCUCUGUUAAACAAAGAGAGUGAGAAAAUGAUUAUAGUAGUCUUCUCUUAAAAAAGUAUUUCUUUAAAAGGGAGCUAUCAAGGGACAGUUCUUCCUCUCUGAGGAAAUUACUUCUGGGAGGCUGUUUUGUUCAACCUUUCUUGACUGUGUUUUGGGAAGUGCUGGGUGGUGUGAUCAGGGGAUGGCAGAGAGUUUGUGAGGAAUAAGUCGAAGUUUGGGAAUUGCUUCUGCUCAUCUGACACAGUGACUCGACCCUGGUGACAGUUGAUAAGUGGGUUCUCCCGGGUAUGGAUCCAAAUUGAAGGCCUGCUGGUGUGGCUCUUGGGUCCAAACAGGGUGUUAAAAGUAGGGGGACUUCCUGUGAAAACCCAGAGGGCUGGUUCUGCUUCAUCUUGCUUCUGCUGAGCCUGGGGCUGGAAGAGGGCAGGGUGCCAAGGGAGAGCAGCGCCUGUUGUCCUGUACACCUGGGCAGAGCUUUGGGCAGACCAUCGUUCACAGACAUUUUCAAAUCAGAUGCAAAAGACAGCAAGAGCGGUAUACUGGUUUCCUGGUUUGUACCAGUCUCUGUAUAGUCUGACUUUAUGUGUAAUAAAAGCAUUUAUUAUUUCUUUUUUUUUUAAUAUUUAUUUUUUAGUUGUAUACAAUACCUUUAUUUUUUAAUUUUUUUUUUUUUAAUGUGGUGCUGAGGAUCGAACCCAGGGCCUCACACGUGCUAGGCAAGCGUUCUACCACUGACCACAACCCCAGCCCUAUUAUUUCUUUUUGUGGGGGACACUGGGGAUUGAACCCGGGGCACUUUUUAACACCAAGUUUUAUUUUUUAUUUUGAAACAGGGACUCACCACGUUACCUAGGACCUUGCUAAGUUGCUGAGGCCCCUGGGCUUUCAAUCCUGCCUCAGCCUCUGGCGUGCUGGGAUUACAGGAGAUGUGCCACUGGGCCUGGCACACCUUUUAUUUCACGUGAACUUUUUCCCUUGAAGCUAACGAUUGUCC
RNAcentral lists this long non-coding RNA (2283 nucleotides) under Marmota monax (woodchuck). The record is from RNAcentral. Lineage: Eukaryota; Metazoa; Chordata; Mammalia; Rodentia; Sciuridae.